AAUAUUUCAAUGGCGCCAAACCCUGAAUAAAAAAAAAAUAAUACCUUUUAUUAUCUGCAUGCAUACAUGCAUAAUUAUGUGGAAACACGUAAUAUAAUAAAAAUUAUUUGAAUUAAUAUAUUUGUGGAAGUUUUACUUUCGAGAAUUAUUCACUGUAGAGGAAGGGGGGUUUCUUUUUUUUUGGAAUUAAUAAGAGUUGAAUGAAUAAUACUCGUUAGAUAAACAAUGAGUAUGAACGCAUGAACCGUUUGGAUAUAGAGCACAGGGUUUAUUACCCAAUUUUAGUGAGCACACAUGGCAAAUCAUAUCUUGAGUAAUUGUGACAUGGUUAGAUCGAGUAUUUGACCAUUUUUCGUAUAAUCUUAGAAAGGAAAUUGCAGAUAAAUUUGUUGAAAUUGACUUACUUGUUUGAUUAUGUAUUGAUGAUACAAGACUAUUCUUUAAGAAAUUUAUCAUCUUUAAUAAAGGCCAUUCUUUUGGAAUAACUUGAAGAAUAUUUCCAAUGGAUAUAUCGGGAUGAAAUGAAUAUUUG
This 532-nucleotide non-coding RNA is filed under the name Cryptosporidium parvum. The record is from RNAcentral. Lineage: Eukaryota; Apicomplexa; Conoidasida; Eucoccidiorida; Cryptosporidiidae.